Molecule: unclassified non-coding RNA, 433 nt
Filed under: soil metagenome
Description: partial contains 5.8S ribosomal RNA, internal transcribed spacer 2, and large subunit ribosomal RNA
Rfam family: 5.8S ribosomal RNA (bases 1-120)
Source: RNAcentral
GAUGAAGAACGCAGCGAAAUGCGAUACGUAAUGUGAAUUGCAGAAUUCAGUGAAUCAUCGAAUCUUUGAACGCAUAUUGCGCUCUCUGGUAUUCCGGAGAGCAUGCUUGUUUGAGUAUCAGUAAACACCUCAACUUCCAUAUCUUUUUUGAAAUGGGAGUUGGACUUGAGUGAUCCCAACGCUUUUCCUCACCGAAAAGUGGCGGGUUACUUGAAAUGCAGGUGCAGCUGGACUUUUCUCUGAGCUAUAAGCAUAUCUAUUUAGUCUGCCUAAAAAACAGAUUAUUACCUUUGCUGCAGCUAACAUAAAGGAGAUUAGUUCUUGUGCUGACUGAUGCAGGAUGCACAAAGACAGGCUUCGGCCGACUUUGUAAACUCGAUCUCAAAUCAAGUAAGACUACCCGCUGAACUUAAGCAUAUCAAUAAGCGGAGGA